This 507-nucleotide ribosomal RNA is filed under the name Triticum aestivum (bread wheat). RNAcentral describes it as "partial small subunit ribosomal RNA". Lineage: Eukaryota; Viridiplantae; Streptophyta; Magnoliopsida; Poales; Poaceae. The record is from RNAcentral.
AUGAGUGCGCUGCUGCUGCCCAUCGGAACGCUUCAACAAAUUGACAAACGCUGUAGGGCCUUCUUCUGGUCAGGGCAGGAUAAAACUACGGGAGGGCAAUGCAAAGUGGCUUGGGACCUUGUGUGCGCUCCAUUCGUGAACGGGGGUCUAGGCUUCUCCUCGCUCAAACACAUGAAUGUCUGUCUUCUUCUUCGUCACCUGUCAAAACUGCAUGACUCUGGCGCUGCCCCAGCCCCGUCCUACCUAGUUACCAAAUAUGGCUGGUCUCCUACCCACGACCUGGGCGCUGGGGAUUCAGCUGCGUCGCCAGUCUGGCGCGAUAUCUUUAAACACCUUGACUUCUUCCGAUCCAUUACGUCGGUUAAACUCGGGAAUGGGGCCACCACCUCGUUCUGGAAUGAUCUUUGGCUCCCAAACAACCAAACUACUCUUGCAUCUCAGUUUGCUGCUCUCUACACUCACUCCAAUAGGCAGUCGGCCUCAGUUGCUAGAGUGCUGGAUUCGCCA